This 2872-nucleotide ribosomal RNA is filed under the name Klebsiella pneumoniae Kb677. RNAcentral describes it as "bacterial LSU rRNA". It matches the Rfam family "Bacterial large subunit ribosomal RNA". Lineage: Bacteria; Pseudomonadati; Pseudomonadota; Gammaproteobacteria; Enterobacterales; Enterobacteriaceae. The record is from RNAcentral.
UUAAGCGACUAAGCGUACACGGUGGAUGCCCUGGCAGUCAGAGGCGAUGAAGGACGUGCUAAUCUGCGAAAAGCGUCGGUAAGGUGAUAUGAACCGUUAUAACCGGCGAUGUCCGAAUGGGGAAACCCAGUGUGAUUCGUCACACUAUCGUUAACUGAAUACAUAGGUUAACGAGGCGAACCGGGGGAACUGAAACAUCUAAGUACCCCGAGGAAAAGAAAUCAACCGAGAUUCCCCCAGUAGCGGCGAGCGAACGGGGAGCAGCCCAGAGUCUGAAUCAGCUUGUGUGUUAGUGGAACGGUCUGGAAAGUCCGACGGUACAGGGUGAUAGUCCCGUACACCAAAAUGCACAGGCUGUGAACUCGAAGAGUAGGGCGGGACACGUGGUAUCCUGUCUGAAUAUGGGGGGACCAUCCUCCAAGGCUAAAUACUCCUGACUGACCGAUAGUGAACCAGUACCGUGAGGGAAAGGCGAAAAGAACCCCGGCGAGGGGAGUGAAAAAGAACCUGAAACCGUGUACGUACAAGCAGUGGGAGCACCUUCGGGUGUGACUGCGUACCUUUUGUAUAAUGGGUCAGCGACUUAUAUUCUGUAGCAAGGUUAACCGUAUAGGGGAGCCGCAGGGAAACCGAGUCUUAACUGGGCGUUAAGUUGCAGGGUAUAGACCCGAAACCCGGUGAUCUAGCCAUGGGCAGGUUGAAGGUUGGGUAACACUAACUGGAGGACCGAACCGACUAAUGUUGAAAAAUUAGCGGAUGACUUGUGGCUGGGGGUGAAAGGCCAAUCAAACCGGGAGAUAGCUGGUUCUCCCCGAAAGCUAUUUAGGUAGCGCCUCGUGAACUCAUCUUCGGGGGUAGAGCACUGUUUCGGCUAGGGGGUCAUCCCGACUUACCAACCCGAUGCAAACUACGAAUACCGAAGAAUGUUAUCACGGGAGACACACGGCGGGUGCUAACGUCCGUCGUGAAGAGGGAAACAACCCAGACCGCCAGCUAAGGUCCCAAAGUCAUGGUUAAGUGGGAAACGAUGUGGGAAGGCACAGACAGCCAGGAUGUUGGCUUAGAAGCAGCCAUCAUUUAAAGAAAGCGUAAUAGCUCACUGGUCGAGUCGGCCUGCGCGGAAGAUGUAACGGGGCUAAACCAUGCACCGAAGCUGCGGCAGCGACACUAUGUGUUGUUGGGUAGGGGAGCGUUCUGUAAGCCUGCGAAGGUGACCUGUGAGGGUUGCUGGAGGUAUCAGAAGUGCGAAUGCUGACAUAAGUAACGAUAAAGCGGGUGAAAAGCCCGCUCGCCGGAAGACCAAGGGUUCCUGUCCAACGUUAAUCGGGGCAGGGUGAGUCGACCCCUAAGGCGAGGCCGAAAGGCGUAGUCGAUGGGAAACAGGUUAAUAUUCCUGUACUUGGUGUUACUGCGAAGGGGGGACGGAGAAGGCUAUGUUAGCCGGGCGACGGUUGUCCCGGUUUAAGCAUGUAGGCUGGUUAUCCAGGCAAAUCCGGAUAAUCAAGGCUGAGGUGUGAUGACGAGGCACUACGGUGCUGAAGUAACAAAUGCCCUGCUUCCAGGAAAAGCCUCUAAGCAUCAGGUAACAUCAAAUCGUACCCCAAACCGACACAGGUGGUCAGGUAGAGAAUACCAAGGCGCUUGAGAGAACUCGGGUGAAGGAACUAGGCAAAAUGGUGCCGUAACUUCGGGAGAAGGCACGCUGGUGUGUAGGUGAAGCCCCUGCGGGUGGAGCUGAGACCAGUCGAAGAUACCAGCUGGCUGCAACUGUUUAUUAAAAACACAGCACUGUGCAAACACGAAAGUGGACGUAUACGGUGUGACGCCUGCCCGGUGCCGGAAGGUUAAUUGAUGGGGUUAUCCGUAAGGAGAAGCUCUUGAUCGAAGCCCCGGUAAACGGCGGCCGUAACUAUAACGGUCCUAAGGUAGCGAAAUUCCUUGUCGGGUAAGUUCCGACCUGCACGAAUGGCGUAAUGAUGGCCAGGCUGUCUCCACCCGAGACUCAGUGAAAUUGAACUCGCUGUGAAGAUGCAGUGUACCCGCGGCAAGACGGAAAGACCCCGUGAACCUUUACUAUAGCUUGACACUGAACAUUGAGCCUUGAUGUGUAGGAUAGGUGGGAGGCUUUGAAGCGUGGACGCCAGUCUGCGUGGAGCCAACCUUGAAAUACCACCCUUUAAUGUUUGAUGUUCUAACGUUGGCCCCUUACCGGGGUUGCGGACAGUGUCUGGUGGGUAGUUUGACUGGGGCGGUCUCCUCCCAAAGCGUAACGGAGGAGCACGAAGGUUAGCUAAUCCUGGUCGGACAUCAGGAGGUUAGUGCAAUGGCAUAAGCUAGCUUGACUGCGAGCGUGACGGCGCGAGCAGGUGCGAAAGCAGGUCAUAGUGAUCCGGUGGUUCUGAAUGGAAGGGCCAUCGCUCAACGGAUAAAAGGUACUCCGGGGAUAACAGGCUGAUACCGCCCAAGAGUUCAUAUCGACGGCGGUGUUUGGCACUGUUGUGGUCAAGUUUUUUUGGACACGCCGAUCAGAUGGUAGGGUUAUGCACAGGCGGGCAACUGGGCGGCAGGGCUGGCCAGCGUUUCGUACUGUGCGGGUGAUCGGUAGCCAAGUUUUGAAUGCAAUCGGGUACUGUUAUAAAAGUUAACGAUGUAGUCGGUGAUGUCUUGUUUGGCUUCUGUAUGGUUGGCAUACCGAGUCUGCCAGACACGCUCCAUUUUCAAAUUCAGAAAGAACCGCUCCAUCACGGCAUUGUCCCAGCAAUUACCCUUGCGGCUCAUGCUGAGUACCAGACCAUGGUUUUCAAGUAAUUGCCGGUGUUCAGCACUGGCAUAUUGACUGCCCCGGUCCGAAUGAACCAAUAAACCCGGUGCC